UGGAUUAAUUUUAAUGGAAAUGGGAUUGAUGCGUGAGACCCCAAAUAGUUCUGUUUGUAAAAUAUAAUAUGGUUAAAUAUUGUUAAUUCGGCUUUAACAUUUUUUGCGGUGGUUAAACUCAAAAGAUUAAGAGAGUUAAAUGUGUUAGAACUGGAGUAGUCCUAAAAUGUAUGACUUUUUAAAAAAAUUAGGGCAUCACAGUUGGUAUCAGAGUUAAUCACUAAUCGAAAGUGUGAUAUGAGUCUCGGCGGAGCCAGAUUAUACAGUGAGGAGAGCGAGACUCUCAUUCUAAUAACUAUUGUGGGUAGAAUGUGACUCUCUCAUAAAGAUCGAUUAAGGCUAAACAUCAUCUGGUAUUUGUGAAUUUGAGCCAGACGAAAAUAUCAGGACUAAAAGUAAGAAGAAUGUGAGACCCCGAAUAGUUUUAUAUAAGAUAUAAUAGAGUUAAAAUUUUUAGCACGAUUAAUUAUAGCAUUUUGGACGGUAUUUGAGCUCAAAAGGCUAAUAGAGUUAAGUGCACAUGUUAGGGUUAGAGUACAGUUCCAUGAUGGGUGACCCCCGGAAAAUUUGGGGCGUCACAUGAUGCUUUUCUUAAUUGCAAUUCUCUGGAAUUGCAUUGGAGCUUAGGAUGAUCUGUUCGAGUAACUCCUGCUUCUACUUCUCCCAACCACAAUCUCAACAUAAGUAUUAUUAUUUUUAUUAUUAUUAUUAUGAACAUUAAAAAGCAAAAAUUUUAAUGCAACUGUUUUAUUCCAUAUAGAAAGAAUAUAUUAAUUGGAUACACUUUAAUAUAGCAAGCUUUUUCUAAUAAUCGUAUUGUGAUAAUAUUUUAUCAAAUAAUACUGCAAAAAUUUUAUCCUACUACGUACGUACCAAGCCAUUGAAUUUCCAACCUAAAAGUUAGGUGAGCUUCAUGGGAAGAUAAGAAGAGUACUGGCUUGUAGUGUGUUGGCCGGAAAUGUGCAUUGAAUGAGUUGAUUCCCCAAGAAUCAUCUAUGUUUGGUUUAGAAUUAGACUCUUGAGUAUGCAUUGCCUUGAGUAACUCUCCUAGCUUGUCUUUUUCCAACAAUCAAAGCCCUAAUUACCGGGCAAAAAAGCAUGUCUUCAAUCUAACCCUUUCACAUGCAUGCAUCUAUCUAUUGUUGGAGUCUACUAUUCACCUUUUUUUUUAACUAACUCUUGACUAAUCCACACAGAAGAUUCCAAAUCCUUCCAAAUUACUACGACAAUAAUGCGACAAAAAUAACUAUUAGCUACGAAUUUAAGCAAACUCCCUGUGGAACACAAAUUUUUGUAUAAAACUACCACAUUGUUGACGCUAUCAGACCUUUGUAGUAACAUAGCAGUGAGUGUGUUUUCUUUUGUUGAACUCUAAGACGGAAGUGUGGUUUGCGGUAAAAUCAGAAGAAUCGUUAAUUAUUUUGAACCGCACAGUUGAAGUCUUCACUUCACUCUGACCAGAGUAUGGUCUAUUUUACAAUCACAGAGUCUCUGCAUGAACGCAAGCCACCGUGUCGGGUCGCCUUUCGAGUGAUGUGGAGUUCACGUAACUCACCAGAAUUUUGAGGUUAUACUAGCUAGAAAUUAAUGACUCCUAGCUUGUAAGCUAAAACAAACAAGAAAAUUGUUUAUUAGUCAACAAACCUUGUCAACAUAGAAGGUCUAUUUGGUCCAAUUAGUUAAUAAACUCAAAAAUUACUUACUAAAAGCUCUUGCCAAAGUACGUGCUAUAUAUUGUUCCCGAAACUCGAACUCCUGCUAUGAUACAAAAUAAUUAUUAUUUUUCUAAAAACUCAAGCUAUUAGAAAACAACGCUUUAAUUAAUUUUUAUAUUCAAUACCACAAAUGGUAUAUAUCCUAACUCUUUUUGCUUCCUAUCAUCGUAGAUAUUUGAUUUUUU
This 1900-nucleotide long non-coding RNA is filed under the name Ananas comosus (pineapple). Its description in RNAcentral is "long non-coding RNA (ACOM_LNC025173)". The record is from RNAcentral. Lineage: Eukaryota; Viridiplantae; Streptophyta; Magnoliopsida; Poales; Bromeliaceae.